CAGGUCAGCCAAGCUGCUGAAGCAGGCAACUGAGCAUAGGACCAGGUCAGCCAAGCUGCUCAAGCAAGCUGCUAAGCGUGGGACCAGGAGAGCUAAGCGCCUAGCCCACCAGAAAAAUGAUUGUUAGGUCAACUCAUGGAACAUCCUACUUUUUCUUUGCUUGAAGGCCAAGAAUAUGACCUCUUGGAUGACAUAAGGCUAUGACAAGAAGGAGGAGAUGUCACCAUGUAUAUAACCUAGCCCACCAUAGGGAUCAAGUAGGGGC
RNAcentral lists this long non-coding RNA (265 nucleotides) under Lupinus angustifolius (narrow-leaved blue lupine). RNAcentral's name for it is "long non-coding RNA (LANG_LNC001563)". Lineage: Eukaryota; Viridiplantae; Streptophyta; Magnoliopsida; Fabales; Fabaceae. The record is from RNAcentral.